GGGGGGGGGGGGGGGGGGGGGGGCGGCGGGGAGGCGGAGGGAAGGGGCGGGCGGGGGGGGGGUGCUCGGGUGGCGAAGGGGGGGGUAACACGUGGGUAACCUGCCCUUGACUUUGGGGUGACUUCUGGAAACUGGGGCUAAUACCGGCUAGGAGCUCCUGCAGCAUGGUGGGGGGUGGAAAGUUUCGGCGGUUGGGGAUGGACUCGCGGCUUAUCAGCUUGUUGGUGGGGGAGUGGCUUACCAAGGCUUUGACGGGUAGCCGGCCUGAGCGGGUGACCGGCGACAUUGGGACUGAGAUACGGCCCAGACUCCUACGGGAGGCAGCAGGGGGGAAGCUUGCACAAUGGGCGGAAGCCUGAUGCAGCAACGCCGCGUGCGGGAUGACGGCCUUCGGGUUGUAAACCGCUUUCGCCUGUGACGAAGCGUGAGUGACGGUAAUGGGUAAAGAAGCACCGGCUAACUACGUG
Molecule: ribosomal RNA, 467 nt
Filed under: uncultured bacterium
Lineage: Bacteria
Description: partial 16S ribosomal RNA
Rfam family: Bacterial small subunit ribosomal RNA (bases 57-467)
Source: RNAcentral